This 217-nucleotide long non-coding RNA is filed under the name Mytilus galloprovincialis (Mediterranean mussel). The record is from RNAcentral. Lineage: Eukaryota; Metazoa; Mollusca; Bivalvia; Mytilida; Mytilidae.
AUUUUGUUUUCUAUAUGUCAUAUUUUGUCGCAUUUGUUGCUUUCCCCACAUCCUUCCUUUUGUCUAUAUUAUUAUGAUAUUCUCCUGGAAAGAGCUCUUUUUAAAUAAAAGGGAUCAACGAACCCAUCACCUUACCUUUAAGAUAGAUCAGUAAACAUGGGCAUAAUUAUGGGUGAUUAUUCAGACUAGUGCACACAUUUUACAGUUCAAACAAGGC